Molecule: ribosomal RNA, 543 nt
Filed under: Plasmodium relictum
Lineage: Eukaryota; Apicomplexa; Aconoidasida; Haemosporida; Plasmodiidae
Description: bacterial SSU rRNA
Rfam family: Eukaryotic small subunit ribosomal RNA
Source: RNAcentral
AUGAUUUGUCUGGUUAAUUCCGAUAACGAACGAGAUCUUAACCUGCUAAUUAGCGGUAAAUACAACAUAUUCUUAAGUAAAUAAGAAUAUAGAUAAAAAUAACAAAUAAGAGAAUAUAUUAAGAUGUUAUUAUAUAUAAUGUCUUCUUCCCUGUUCUUCUUGUAUUGUUUUUUUAUUCUAUUUCUUUUUUUACGUAAGAAUGUAUUUACUUGAUUGUAAAGCUUCUUAGAGGGACAUUGUGUGUCUAACACAAGGAAGUUUAAGGCAACAACAGGCCUGUGAUGUCCUUAGAUGAACUAGGCUGCACGCGUGCUACACUGAUAUAUAUAACGAGUUAUUAAAAGUAUAUCUUUGUAUAUAUAUAUUCUGUAUAUAUAUACAAAAGAUAUAAUUUUCCUCCACUGAAAAGUGUAGGUAAUCUUUAUCAAUAUAUAUCGUGAUGGGGAUAGAUUAUUGCAAUUAUUAAUCUUGAACGAGGAAUGCCUAGUAAGCAUGAUUCAUCAGAUUGUGCUGACUACGUCCCUGCCCUUUGUACACACCGCC